Long non-coding RNA from Sapajus apella (tufted capuchin), 528 nucleotides. RefSeq lists it as uncharacterized. The record is from RefSeq and is a predicted model, not a curated record. Lineage: Eukaryota; Metazoa; Chordata; Mammalia; Primates; Cebidae. The transcript has 3 exons.
CAGGGCACUGUUCACUGGGACAUGACUCAGACCAUAAAUUCUUUUCUCAGAAUUUAGAAUUAGGAAACGGAGCUGCCUGUUGGUGAGGGUCACCAGUAGCAACACAUCAAGGUACAGGGAGUAACAAGACCAUGGCCAUAGCCGCUGUGAGGAAUGACAUACUAGCUUUUCCAACACCUAUGGAUUCAAUUUCCUGUGUUAAAUUCUCUCUGCUUGAAGGACCUCUAAUGAUGCCAGUUUUCUCGCUGGACCCUAACAGAUACAAGAUGAGCCCAGUACCCAAAGCAGUGAGGUGGUUUCCAUCUGCUCACAGCACAUGUGUGUCCCAGGUAGGACACUGGUGCAACCCAGGGUCUGCUGGAUUAUGCUCCUUGUCCAGACAACACAUUUCCCACACAUGCUGAAACGUGUGCCCUGGGAUUUUCCUGGGAUAUUAUUUGAGUUGCCUCUGAGGAUUUCAUUGUUUGUUAAGGUCUUAUAAAAAAAAAUCAAACCAAGGAAAAAAAAAAGACAAAUGAAGAUCAACUU